RNAcentral lists this ribosomal RNA (445 nucleotides) under uncultured bacterium. RNAcentral's name for it is "partial 16S ribosomal RNA". It matches the Rfam family "Bacterial small subunit ribosomal RNA", at positions 354 to 796 of the family's 1533-position model. The record is from RNAcentral.
GUGAGGAAUAUUGGUCAAUGGGCGGGAGCCUGAACCAGCCAAGUCGCGUGAAGGAAGAAGGAUCUAUGGUUCGUAAACUUCUUUUGCAGGGGAAUAAAGUGCAGGACGUGUCCUGUUUUGUAUGUACCCUGCGAAUAAGGAUCGGCUAACUCCGUGCCAGCAGCCGCGGUAAUACGGAGGAUCCGAGCGUUAUCCGGAUUUAUUGGGUUUAAAGGGUGCGUAGGUGGUUUGAUAAGUCAGCGGUGAAAGUUUGCAGCUUAACUGUAAAAAUGCCGUUGAAACUGUCGGACUUGAGUGUAAAUGAGGUAGGAGGAAUGCGUGGUGUAGCGGUGAAAUGCAUAGAUAUCACGCAGAACUCCGAUUGCGAAGGCAGCUUACUAAGCUACAACUGACACUGAGGCACGAAGGCGUGGGGAUCAAACAGGAUUAGAAACCCGGGUAGUCC